This 232-nucleotide long non-coding RNA is filed under the name Ananas comosus (pineapple). RNAcentral's name for it is "long non-coding RNA (ACOM_LNC016440)". Lineage: Eukaryota; Viridiplantae; Streptophyta; Magnoliopsida; Poales; Bromeliaceae. The record is from RNAcentral.
UUUCGGGCGCCCGGAAGUGGGUCCGAAAAUUCACUUCGUGAGUAUCGUUUGCGCUGACACGUGGCUGGUGGUAGGUGAGUUCCACCGGAGCCAGAUGGGCGCAGCACACCGUGGGCGGAGGAACCGAAGGGGAGCAAGUGUGUAGCGUGGAGGUUUCGAACGCCCAGAAAGGGUUUUUGGGCGCCUGAAAGUGUGGUUUUCUGCAGAAUCUGCAGGUUAACCUCUUUUAUUC